This 63-nucleotide transfer RNA is filed under the name Armillifer armillatus. RNAcentral describes it as "tRNA-Arg". Lineage: Eukaryota; Metazoa; Arthropoda; Ichthyostraca; Porocephalida; Armilliferidae. The record is from RNAcentral.
GGACAUAAAGCAUUAUUAAUGCAAGCAAUUUCGACCUGCUCAUAGAUCUAACAUCUAUGUCUA